This is a non-coding RNA of Schizosaccharomyces pombe (fission yeast), 413 nucleotides long. The record is from the annotation of a GenBank genome assembly. Lineage: Eukaryota; Fungi; Ascomycota; Schizosaccharomycetes; Schizosaccharomycetales; Schizosaccharomycetaceae.
AAUUAUAAUAGGGGAAUUUAAUGUAGAUCGUUACAAAACUUCAGCAUCUCAGUGCAUGUCGGAUUUAAAGACUUCUAUUUAAAUUUUAAGAUUGAAUUCGUCAGGUGGAUUUAGAUGGUUUAAUACAGUGUAUUAAUUAUCGGGUGUAAUUCAUUAAAUUAUAAUAUUUGGAACCGUUACUCGAAAGUCAUAGAUUCGAACAUCAAGAACUUAUGUAAACAGCAUACAACGAUAUAGUGUUAGUUAGUAGCUCGAAGUGUCAUGCUUAAAUCAAUUAAUUAACGAAAGGAGGGAAAAGAUAUAGAAAAAGGAUAAAAAAGCUAAUCUAUUUUCAACGGCGCCUUGAGACAGGCGGUAUUACCCCUUGAAGAACCAUGGGUGCUUAGUAGUUGUCGCAAUAAUAUUCUUUUUAC